Molecule: ribosomal RNA, 253 nt
Filed under: uncultured bacterium
Lineage: Bacteria
Description: partial 16S ribosomal RNA
Rfam family: Bacterial small subunit ribosomal RNA
Source: RNAcentral
GACGAACCGUGCAAACGUUGUUCGGAAUCACUGGGCUUAAAGGGCGCGUAGGCGGCUGACCAAGUCCGGGGUGAAAUCUUUCGGCUCAACCGGAAAAGUGCCUUGGAUACUGGUCGGCUAGAGUGAGGUAGGGGCAUGUGGAACUUCCGGUGGAGCGGUGAAAUGCGUUGAUAUCGGAAGGAACGCCGGUGGCGAAAGCGACGUGCUGGACCUUUUCUGACGCUGAGGCGCGAAAGCUAGGGGAGCGAACGGG